GGUGAGAUGUCCGAGAGGAUUAAGGAGCAUGAUUGGAAAUCAUGUAUACAUGAAAUCCGUGUAUCAAGGGUUCGAAUCCCUUUCUCACCG
RNAcentral lists this transfer RNA (90 nucleotides) under Candidatus Riesia pthiripubis. RNAcentral's name for it is "tRNA-Ser". It matches the Rfam family "tRNA". Rfam says of the family: Transfer RNA (tRNA) molecules are approximately 80 nucleotides in length. Their secondary structure includes four short double-helical elements and three loops (D, anti-codon, and T loops). Further hydrogen bonds mediate the characteristic L-shaped molecular structure. tRNAs have two regions of fundamental functional importance: the anti-codon, which is responsible for specific mRNA codon recognition, and the 3' end, to which the tRNAs corresponding amino acid is attached (by aminoacyl-tRNA synthetases). tRNAs cope with the degeneracy of the genetic code in two manners: having more than one tRNA (with a specific anti-codon) for a particular amino acid; and 'wobble' base-pairing, i.e. permitting non-standard base-pairing at the 3rd anti-codon position. The record is from RNAcentral. Lineage: Bacteria; Pseudomonadati; Pseudomonadota; Gammaproteobacteria; Enterobacterales; Enterobacteriaceae. RNAcentral also lists the same sequence under 1 other name.